Molecule: small RNA, 148 nt
Filed under: Serratia sp. Tan611
Lineage: Bacteria; Pseudomonadati; Pseudomonadota; Gammaproteobacteria; Enterobacterales; Yersiniaceae
Description: Leu_leader
Rfam family: Leucine operon leader
About the family: At least 6 amino acid operons are known to be regulated by attenuation.
Source: RNAcentral
AGAGAAGUGGAAUCACAUGAUCCGUAUUACUCGUCUACUAGGCCUACUACUAAACGCAUCUUCUUUGCGCGGUAUGCCAGUGGGCGGCGAUCGGUCCUGAUUCAGCCACUCAGCUAUAACAAACCCGCGCUACUGCGCGGGUUUUUUU